AUUUCUUCUCUAUCUUCCAACUGUCUUGCAUGAAUCUUCAAGUAUUGUGUAGGUCCUCGUGUUUUCUUCACUGUUGUCUCUAUACAAAGAUACUAAUUAUAUACCAUCCCUCUUAUUGAUUUAUAAGAUAUUUAAUUGAAAAAAAAAGAACAAA
Non-coding RNA from Arachis ipaensis, 154 nucleotides. NCBI's taxonomy places the organism in Eukaryota, Viridiplantae, Streptophyta, Magnoliopsida, Fabales, Fabaceae. The record is from RefSeq and is a predicted model, not a curated record.